AAAAUAAAUAUUUUUGAAGCCUAAAAAGGGAACAGGAAAUGAAGAAUUGUGAUAAGCUGAGAAACAAUGAGAUAAAGAAGAAUCUAAGAAUCUAAUGAGAAAACUUCACCACAGACUGGGAAGAUUUCCCUGCAUCCUUUCCUGAUUUUGUUCUGGCCUGUCAGCUCGAAGUGUAGAGCCUUUUUACUCCUGUAUCUGCUCCUGCAGAAUAUGUCAGUGGGUUACAAAAAAAGCAAUAGGAAGACUCCAGUGAGACCUGGAUUUAGUAAUUAUCCCUACACCAAGGAGUACUUCUGCAUCUCUUUAACUCCAAGCAUGUCCUUACAGACUCCAGCCCUGCUCUCAUGCAAAGCAGGUGCUGCAAGGUUAUUGCAAAUCAAGGCUUUGGGUCCUUUCUUCCUUCCAGCACCAUUUCCAAGGAUUUUUAAACCAAAUGUUUGCUGUGAUAAAAGGAACUUUGUUCAGCUCCCUGAAAACCUGGGGAUUUGGUGCUGGCAAGAACACAGGGGUGUGUUUGCUCACAAAAAUCCCCUCAAGCAGCAAAGCUCUGGCAAAACCCCCAGCCCAGCACAUCCCACUCCAUCCCCUCGGCACAGGAUCCUCCCUGAGCCACUCCAUGGCUUUAAUUCAAAACUCCCCAGUCCAGCAGGUAUCAACAGCACUGCUUACCCCAGGGCUUCAUUGCUGUGUUUGUGGGGGAAAACUUCACCUCCCUGUGCCCCAAAUGUCCGUUUAGCACUAAAAUGGUUCUGCAGCUGUGUCAGAGACCUCAGCAGGGCAGAGCCAUGGGUAGAUCAUAAAACACCAGCUCAGCAGGUCUGUCCUUCAUCAUUUCAGUCUCUGCUGAGCCACCUGGGUAAACACCAGCAUUGUUCAGCCCUAAAGAGUGCCCAGCACACGGAUUCAUCCAGCACAGGGGAUGGGGAUUCCCAGGGCUCCAGCCCUGCUGAAAUCCUGAAAUCCAGUUUUACAGCACUCACCAUCAAGGUGUUCAGCUCCAAUUCUUCGUUUUUGUAUCCAGAAUAAACUUGAUGUGGGUACUACAAUCUAAUGAAAUCUCC
RNAcentral lists this long non-coding RNA (1061 nucleotides) under Ficedula albicollis (Collared flycatcher). Its description in RNAcentral is "lncRNA (ENSFALG00000027064.1)". Lineage: Eukaryota; Metazoa; Chordata; Aves; Passeriformes; Muscicapidae. The record is from RNAcentral.